RNAcentral lists this transfer RNA (76 nucleotides) under Zoogloea ramigera. Its description in RNAcentral is "tRNA-Phe". It matches the Rfam family "tRNA". Rfam says of the family: Transfer RNA (tRNA) molecules are approximately 80 nucleotides in length. Lineage: Bacteria; Pseudomonadati; Pseudomonadota; Betaproteobacteria; Rhodocyclales; Zoogloeaceae. The record is from RNAcentral. RNAcentral also lists the same sequence under 181 other names.
GGCCAGUUAGCUCAGUUGGUAGAGCAGCGGAUUGAAAAUCCGCGUGUCCGUGGUUCGAUUCCGCGACUGGCCACCA